Molecule: long non-coding RNA, 679 nt
Organism: Homo sapiens (human)
Lineage: Eukaryota; Metazoa; Chordata; Mammalia; Primates; Hominidae
Exons: 3
Source: RefSeq, a predicted model, not a curated record
UAGAGACAGCGUUUCACCAUAUUGGCCAGGCUGGUCUCAAAUUCCUGACUUCCAGUGAUGUGCCCACCUCGGCCUCCCAAACUGCUGGGAUCCACUUUGCUCUGCCUCAGGGACCUGCAGCCAAGUUCGUUACGGACCAGCUUGCUGAGUUGUCUUGAAAAGCGGGCUUACAGGUGUUCUAAGCCCAUGUUUUAUCCUGAAGUUCCCCUCGACAAGAAAAACGAAUUCAUAGCACAAAGUACACCAGUUUAAGACUAGCCUUAGAAUUCUUUUUUGCAUUAAUCCAAACAGAAGAGAUUUGUUUUACCAUUCCUUCAAUCGUUCCCACAGAGAGAAGUCAGAAAUCUGACUGCGUAUGUCAAGCCUCUGAGCCCAAGCCGGCCUGUAUACAUCCAGAUAGCCUGAAGCAACUGAAGAAUCACAAAAGAAGUGAAAAUGGCCGGUUCCUGACUUAACUGAUGACAUUACCUUGUGAAAUUCCUUCUCCUGGCCCAGGAGCUCCCCACCAAGCACCUUGUGACCCCCGCCCUGCCCUCAAGAGAACAACCCCCUUUGACUGUAAUUUUCCACUACCCACACAAAUCCUAUAAAACUGCCUCACCCCUAGUUCCCUUUGCUGACUCUUUUUUCAGAUUCAGCCCACCUGCACCCAGGUGAUUAAAAAGCUUUAUUGCUCACA